GUACCUUUAGCUCAGUUGGUAGAGCAUCUGACUUUUAAUCAGAGGGUCGCUGGUUCGAACCCAGCACGGCUCA
This 73-nucleotide transfer RNA is filed under the name Listeria monocytogenes. RNAcentral's name for it is "tRNA-Lys". It matches the Rfam family "tRNA". Rfam says of the family: Transfer RNA (tRNA) molecules are approximately 80 nucleotides in length. Their secondary structure includes four short double-helical elements and three loops (D, anti-codon, and T loops). The record is from RNAcentral. Lineage: Bacteria; Bacillati; Bacillota; Bacilli; Caryophanales; Listeriaceae.